This 253-nucleotide ribosomal RNA is filed under the name uncultured bacterium. RNAcentral describes it as "partial 16S ribosomal RNA". It matches the Rfam family "Bacterial small subunit ribosomal RNA", at positions 524 to 776 of the family's 1533-position model. The record is from RNAcentral.
UACGGAGGAUGCAAGCGUUAUCCGGAAUGAUUGGGCGUAAAGCGUCCGCAGGUGGCUGUGUAAGUCUGCUGUCAAAGAGCGAAGCUCAACUUCGUAAAGGCAGUGGAAACUACACGGCUAGAGUGCGUUCGGGGCAGAGGGAAUUCCUGGUGUAGCGGUGAAAUGCGUAGAGAUCAGGAAGAACACCGGUGGCGAAGGCGCUCUGCUAGGCCGCAACUGCCACUGAGGGACGAAAGCUAGGGGAGCGAAUGGG